AAUGCUAAAAGAAUGGAAAUUUAAAAAAAAACUUUUUUAAAAGUAAAAAUUGAAUUUUUUUUAAUUUGUGCAAAAACAAUUAUAUUUAUUAAAGACAAGAAGACCCUAAGAAUUUAAGAUUUUACAAUUAAAAAGUUUUUUUUUAAAAUCUUGAUUGGGGCGAUCAAAAAAUAUUAAUAACUUUUUAAAAUUUAAAUUGAUCUAUUAUUAAUAAACUAAUGAAUUAAAUACUCUAGGGAUAACAGCGUA
Molecule: ribosomal RNA, 249 nt
Filed under: Hyalomma rufipes
Lineage: Eukaryota; Metazoa; Arthropoda; Arachnida; Ixodida; Ixodidae
Description: partial large subunit ribosomal RNA
Source: RNAcentral